This 435-nucleotide ribosomal RNA is filed under the name uncultured Flavobacterium sp. RNAcentral describes it as "bacterial SSU rRNA". It matches the Rfam family "Bacterial small subunit ribosomal RNA", at positions 358 to 790 of the family's 1533-position model. The record is from RNAcentral. Lineage: Bacteria; Pseudomonadati; Bacteroidota; Flavobacteriia; Flavobacteriales; Flavobacteriaceae.
GGAAUAUUGGUCAAUGGACGCAAGUCUGAACCAGCCAUGCCGCGUGCAGGAUGACGGUCCUAUGGAUUGUAAACUGCUUUUGUACAGGAAGAAACCCUACUUCGUGAAGUAGAUUGACGGUACUGUAAGAAUAAGGAUCGGCUAACUCCGUGCCAGCAGCCGCGGUAAUACGGAGGAUCCAAGCGUUAUCCGGAAUCAUUGGGUUUAAAGGGUCCGUAGGCGGUCUAGCAAGUCAGUGGUGAAAUCUCCCCGCUCAACGGGGAAACGGCCAUUGAUACUACUAGACUUGAAUUAUUAGGAAGUAACUAGAAUAUGUAGUGUAGCGGUGAAAUGCUUAGAUAUUACAUGGAAUACCAAUUGCGAAGGCAGGUUACUACUAAUUGAUUGACGCUGAUGGACGAAAGCGUGGGGAGCGAACAGGAUUAGAUACCCGAG